This 253-nucleotide ribosomal RNA is filed under the name uncultured bacterium. Its description in RNAcentral is "partial 16S ribosomal RNA". It matches the Rfam family "Bacterial small subunit ribosomal RNA", at positions 524 to 776 of the family's 1533-position model. The record is from RNAcentral.
UACGUAGGGUGCAAGCGUUAAUCGGAAUUACUGGGCGUAAAGCGUGCGCAGGCGGUUCGCUAAGACCGAUGUGAAAUCCCCGGGCUUAACCUGGGAACUGCAUUGGUGACUGGCGGGCUAGAGUAUGGCAGAGGGGGGUAGAAUUCCACGUGUAGCAGUGAAAUGCGUAGAGAUGUGGAGGAAUACCGAUGGCGAAGGCAGCCCCCUGGGCCAAUACUGACGCUCAGGCACGAAAGCGUGGGGAGCAAACAGG